CAAAAGCUUGGUCCUGGCUUUACUGUCGUCUUUAACUUAAUUUACACAUGCAAGUAUCCGCGCCCCCGUGAGGAUGCCCUGACAGUUCCCUUCUCGGGAACAAGGAGCUGGUAUCAGGCACAAUUUUCUGCUCUUUGAGCCCCCCCCCCCUUUUUGGUCGCCCAAAACACCUUGCUUUGCCACACCCUCAAGGGUACUCAGCAGUGAUAGAUAUUAAGCCAUGAGCGCAAGCUUGACUUAGUUAGAGUUUAGAGGGCCGGUAAAAUUCGUGCCAGCCACCGCGGUUACACGAAAGGCCCAAGUUGACAGCCAUCGGCGUAAAGCGUGGUUAGGGUCCUACCAAGAACUAAAGUCGAACUCCUUCAAGACCGUUUAACGUGUUCGAAACGGAGAAGCACAGCUACGAAAGUGACUUUACACACCUGACUCCACGAAAGCUAAGGCACAAACUGGGAUUAGAUACCCCACUAUGCUUAGCCCUAAAUACAGAUAGAAUCAUACCGUUUUAUCCGCCCGGGUACUACGAGCAUUAGCUUGAAACCCAAAGGACUUGGCGGUGCUUCAGACCCAUCUAGAGGAGCCUGUUCUAGAACCGAUAAUCCCCGUUAAACCUCACCCCUCUUUGUUUUCACCGCCUAUAUACCGCCGUCGUAAGCCUAUCCCGUGAGGGCCUCGUAAUUAGCUUAAUUGGCACAGCCCAAAACGUCAGGUCGAGGUGUAGCUUAUGGAGGGGGCAAGAAAUGGGCUACAUUCCCUCCCUCAGGGAACACGAAUAACGCACUGAAACACACGUUCGAAGGUGGAUUUAGUAGUAAGCAGUAAAUAGAGUGUUCUGCUGAAACUGGCUCUGAAGCGCGCACACACCGCCCGUCACUCUCCCCAAACGCAUCCCCCAAUUGUAUCCUUAGAUAAAAACCCGCCUCUGCAAAGGGGAGGCAAGUCGUAACAUGGUAAGUGUACCGGAAGGUGUACUUGGAAUAAC
RNAcentral lists this non-coding RNA (982 nucleotides) under Gerres decacanthus (small Chinese silver-biddy). Its description in RNAcentral is "12S ribosomal RNA". It matches the Rfam family "Bacterial small subunit ribosomal RNA". The record is from RNAcentral. Lineage: Eukaryota; Metazoa; Chordata; Actinopteri; Gerreiformes; Gerreidae.